Long non-coding RNA from Fukomys damarensis (Damara mole-rat), 1888 nucleotides. RefSeq lists it as uncharacterized. The record is from RefSeq and is a predicted model, not a curated record. The transcript has 3 exons. Lineage: Eukaryota; Metazoa; Chordata; Mammalia; Rodentia; Bathyergidae.
UUCCUUGUCCCCUCAGUUUUGGCUUGGCUACAUUUAAUGUAUUUUAAUAAAAUUAUCCUAUGUUUUCAGUCAUCUUCAAUCAGAGGACGGGCCCAAGUAAUCUACCCUGUCAGUACUGGAAAAUGGAAGCCUUUCCUGCUCUCAUUCAACAAGUAUUGGGGAAAUGCGUGUGUGUCAGGCAAGGGUCAGGGCAGUAAACCAGAUAGAAGUGGGCUCUUGUAGAGCUCCCAGUCUCUGUGUAGAGACAGACAAUAAACAGAGAGUUACAAAGCUAACUAGUUAAUUAUAGUUGUGAUGCAUAUUGUGGAGUAAGGAAAUUCAGAGGUGGUGAGAGUGUCCAACUGGGAGUCUUUGCCUGUUUCAUGGACUCAGGAGAAAUCAUUUCUAGGAAUGUGAUUUUUUUUAAGGACCCAUAGGAUUAUGUCAUUUGGAGUUGGAGCCCAACAAUGCAGGUAGAGGGAAUACCACAUUUAAAACUCACACACAGGAAGGAGCAUGAUGUUCUAGAUACUGGAAAAUGACCAAUAUGUUUAGCUAUAGUGCACGGAGUAGGGCAGGGUGAGGGACAAGAGGUGAGGCCAGAGGGUUAUCUGGGCUCUCACAAUCAGGGGGUCCGAUUUUGGUCAGUAUGCUAAGAACAAAAGGGACCAUGGCAAACACUGAGGUCAAGUUUUCUGGUAAAGACCACUCUGCUGACCCAAGGAGGAUAAAUCAUGGCAGACCAAGGGAACAUCAGCCAGGCCACGAGGGAGGCUCCUUCUCACAGAGGGAAGUAAGUAAUACUUAGCAGAUAGGAUAAAAAGGAUUUCCACCAAGACUGACGGUAGGGUCGCCUCAGAAUGCUUUACCAAACUGUGCUGGCUCUUGUUCGUUGGCUCUCUACACCUCUUUCCUUACCACAUGGAGGGCCUGCCAUGCCUUUGGCUCCCUGUUGGGUUUGGCCAAUGGGAUGAUGGGAAACAGCAGCAGGCUAUCAGAGGCUACUGUUGAGGCUGGGCUGCCUCUUUCUGACUCUCUCCUUGAUUCAGGGCUUCAUCUGCAUGUCCCCAAGAAUACAGCCCCUGCCAAAUGACCCUUCUUCUGACCUCCAGGGCUCCAGUUCUCACUUGUAACACCAGUUUCUCCCUUAUCCCUUCCCCUUGCAGGUGGUGGUGACCAUAUCUGCUAGAGCUAGUUUUGGGGGGCCUCCAUACCCCUUUUGGAUUCCCUUAACUCUGGUCACAGCUCUCUAAAUAAUCCUUCUGUUAACAUCUCUUUAUUAGAUGAGAUAGGGGGAGUUUGAUUUUCCGCCAGAACCCUGAGUAAUCACCAGUUUCUUAGAGAUAGUUUUGUUUGUUUGUUUGGGGUUUACAUUUGUGUGUGUGUGUGUGUUUGUUUAUUUGUUUGUUUUCCUUUAAAGAAUCCUGAGAAGCAAAUCUGUCUGGGAAUUCUGGAGGGAAGCCAGUCGUCCAUUACAGCAGCUAAAGGAGUGGUGUCAGGGCCCACAUGAAGGCUCUGCUGCCGGCUGCGUUCUAUAAACAAACACAUGCAUGUGAGCACAGGGCAAGCCAGAGCCAAAGGACAAACACAGCCAUCAAAAUUUUAUGGAGCCCAAUAUCAGCCAGGAUAGAGGAAGAAGCGGAGCCCAUAGCGAGAGAGAGCAUGACUCAGCGUGACUCCUUUACCACUGCCUCAGAAGGAAAAGUGAGUCCACAACCGCAGGGAGAAGCUUCUGAAGGUGACCGUCAGUCUGCAGCUGACGAGGGAUGGAGGUUCUCAAAGCCAGAGUGCCAGUCUGUAAGGGGUGAAACCCCAACUCCUUCCUGAAAGAAUGCCGUGGAGCACACUUCUAAUCCUAGCACUCUGUGAUGCUGAGGCGGGAGGAUCACAAGUUUGAGCCUGGCCUAGG